GGAGUAGUACUCAAGUAGGUUAUAAGAGGCGUCCCUGCUAAGGACGUAGUCCAUAAAUUGGUGCAAGGGUUCGAAUCCCUUCUACUCCGCCA
This 92-nucleotide transfer RNA is filed under the name Candidatus Phytoplasma pini. RNAcentral's name for it is "tRNA-Ser". It matches the Rfam family "tRNA". From Rfam's summary of the family: Transfer RNA (tRNA) molecules are approximately 80 nucleotides in length. Their secondary structure includes four short double-helical elements and three loops (D, anti-codon, and T loops). The record is from RNAcentral. Lineage: Bacteria; Bacillati; Mycoplasmatota; Mollicutes; Acholeplasmatales; Acholeplasmataceae.